RNAcentral lists this ribosomal RNA (1347 nucleotides) under uncultured bacterium. RNAcentral's name for it is "partial 16S ribosomal RNA". It matches the Rfam family "Bacterial small subunit ribosomal RNA", at positions 28 to 1381 of the family's 1533-position model. The record is from RNAcentral.
GACGAACGCUUGCGGCGUGCUUAACACAUGCAAGUCGAACGGAAAGGCUCCGCCUUGGUGGAGUGCUCGAGUGGCGAACGGGUGAGUAACACGUGAGUAAUCUGCCCUGGACUCUGGGAUAACCCCGGGAAACUGGGGCUAAUACUGGAUAUGACCUCUCGCCGUAUGGGGGUUGGUGGAAAGUUUCUCGCGUGUAGGAUAAGCCCCCGGCCUAUACCCUUGGUGGUGGGGUGAUGGCCUACCCAGGGCACUACCGGUAACCCGGCUGAAAAGGUGAUCCGGCCCCUUGGGACUGAAAUACCGGCCAAAAUCCUACCGGAAGGAACAAUGGGGAAUAUUGGACCAUGGGCGGAAACCCGAAGCCACCACCCCCCCUGACGGAAGACAGGCCUCCGGUUGGAAACCUCUUUCCGCCUGGACAAAACCUAAGUGACACGGACCUGCAUAAAAAACACCCGGUAACUACCUGCCACCACCCGCGGUAAUACACUAAGGUGCGCAGCGCUUGUCCCGAAUUACUGGGCGUAAAGAGCUCUCAAGCGGGUUGACCGCUCCCUAUGAAAUCCUAUGGCUCAUCCCUGUGACGUGCGCGCUAUACAGGCUGACUUGAGUACUACGGGGGAGACUGGAAUUUCUGGUGUAGCGGUGGAAUGCACAGAUAUCAGGAAGAACACCGAUGGCGAAGGCAGGUCUCUGGGUAGUAACUGACGCUGAGGAGCGAAAGCAUGGGUAGCGAACAGGAUUAGAUACCCUGGUAGUCCAUGCCGUAAACGGUGGGCGCUAGGUGUGGGGUUCCUUCCACGGGCUCCGCGCCGUAGCUAACGCAUUAAGCGCCCCGCCUGGGGAGUACGGCCGCAAGGCUAAAACUCAAAGAAAUUGACGGGGGCCCGCACAAGCGGCGGAGCAUGUGGAUUAAUUCGAUGCAACGCGAAGAACCUUACCUGGGCUUGACAUAUAGAGGAUCGCUACAGAGAUGUGGUUUCCCUUGUGGCUUCUAUACAGGUGGUGCAUGGUUGUCGUCAGCUCGUGUCGUGAGGUGUUGGGUUAAGUCCCGCAACGAGCGCAACCCUCGUCUUAUGUUGCCAGCACGUUAUGGUGGGGACUUGUGAGAGACUGCCGGGGUCAACUCGGAGGAAGGUGGGGAUGACGUCAAAUCAUCAUGCCCCUUAUGUCCAGGGCUUCACACAUGCUACAAUGGCCGGUACAGAGGGCUGCGAUGCCGUGAGGCGGAGCGAAUCUCUUAAAGCCGGUCUCAGUUCGGAUUGGGGUCUGCAACUCGACCCCAUGAAGUCGGAGUCGCUAGUAAUCGCAGAUCAGCAACGCUGCGGUGAAUACGUUCCCGGGCCU